Molecule: ribosomal RNA, 492 nt
Filed under: uncultured bacterium
Lineage: Bacteria
Description: partial 16S ribosomal RNA
Rfam family: Bacterial small subunit ribosomal RNA
Source: RNAcentral
AGUGAACGCUGGCGGUAGGCCUAACACAUGCAAGUCGAACGGCAGCACAGUAAGAGUUUGCUCUUACGGGUGGCGAGUGGCGGACGGGUGAGGAAUACAUCGGAAUCUACUUUUUCGUGGGGGUUAACGUUGGGAAACCUACGCUAAUACCGCAUACGCCCUACGGGUGAAAGCAGGGGAUCUUCGGACCUUGCGCGAUUGAAUGAGCCGAUGUCGGAUUAGCUAGUUGGCGGGGUAAAGGCCCACCACGGCGCCGAUCCGUAGCUGGUCUGAGAGGAUGAUCAGCCACACUGGAGCUGAGACACGGUCCAGACUCCUACGGGAGGCAGCAGUGGGGAAUAUUGGACAAUGGGCGCAAGCCUGGUCCAGCCAUACCGCGUGGGUGAAGAAGGCCUUCGGGUUGUAAAGCCCUUUUGUUGGGAAAGAAAAGCAGCAGGUUAAUACCCCGCUGUUCUGACGGUACCCAAUGAAUAAGCACCGGCUAACUUCGUG